Phyllostomus discolor (pale spear-nosed bat) is the source of this 201-nucleotide long non-coding RNA. RefSeq lists it as uncharacterized. Lineage: Eukaryota; Metazoa; Chordata; Mammalia; Chiroptera; Phyllostomidae. The transcript has 2 exons. The record is from RefSeq and is a predicted model, not a curated record.
AAUAGGCACCCCAGGUGAUCUACGCCAAUAAUUUUCAAACUUCUGUGUACAUGCAAAUAACCUGGGCAGCCUGUUAGAUAGACAAAUUCCCAGUCUCCACUCCCCUCUCUCCCAAUUCAGACUGUUAAGACUAAGGUAGGGCUCCAAAAUGUGAAAUUUCACAUUCACUCUGGAUGAUUCUGAUAAAGGUGACCUUGGGCC